RNAcentral lists this ribosomal RNA (615 nucleotides) under uncultured Pseudomonadota bacterium. RNAcentral's name for it is "bacterial SSU rRNA". It matches the Rfam family "Bacterial small subunit ribosomal RNA", at positions 75 to 686 of the family's 1533-position model. The record is from RNAcentral. Lineage: Bacteria; Pseudomonadati; Pseudomonadota.
CUUGCUCUUAUGGUGNGCGAGUGNCGGACGGGUGAGGAAUACAUCGGAAUCUACUCUGUCGUGGGGGAUAACGUAGGGAAACUUACGCUAAUACCGCAUACGACCUACGGGUGAAAGCAGGGGAUCUUCGGACCUUGCGCGAUUGAAUGAGCCGAUGUCGGAUUAGCUAGUUGGCGGGGUAAAGGCCCACCAAGGCGACGAUCCGUAGCUGGUCUGAGAGGAUGAUCAGCCACACUGGAACUGAGACACGGUCCAGACUCCUACAGGAGGCAGCAGUGGGGAAUAUUGGACAAUGGGCGCAAGCCUGAUCCAGCCAUACCGCGUGGGUGAAGAAGGCCUUCGGGUUGUAAAGCCCUUUUGUUGGGAAAGAAAUCCAGCCGGCUAAUACCUGGUUGGGAUGACGGUACCCAAAGAAUAAGCACCGGCUAACUUCGUGCCAGCAGCCGCAGUAAUACGAAGGGUGCAAGCGUUACUCGGAAUUACUGGGCGUAAAGCGUGCGUAGGUGGUCGUUUAAGUCCGUUGUGAAAGCCCUGGGCUCAACCUGGGAACUGCAGUGGAUACUGGGCGACUAGAGUGUGGUAGAGGGUAGCGGAAUUCCUGGUGUAGCAGUGAAA